CAAGAAGCCAUGUUAGGCUUUAGGCUUCUCUGAACGUGACCAACCCUUAAGCUAACAAAACCAUGUCCCUGUGCUACCAUGAUGUACAGCUAUCUCAGUGGAACAUAAAAAUUCUAACUAACCCAAACUGCAUAAGCCACAAAGAAAGUAGUAAAUCCCAUAACUACAUCAAGAUGACUGCGAUUUCCAUUGUUGUAUCGCCACACGCAAGGAAUGGUUGGGAAUUAUGGAUAAAUAUUGGAGCCUUUGUUUUGUGACAGGGGAUGUCUUGUGUUUCUUGAGCCAAGCUUUUAUUGCCCUGUGCUCGUAGGUGUGCCCAUCAGCAGCAACAUAAGGUUAGCAAAUUUUACCUGCAAUAUUGGGCAGAUGAAGUGGCUCGGCACAGCUGCGUUUGGACUUCUUAAUGUGGGAGAAGCAGUAAUUCUGCUCAGAAUGCUCUCGAUCUCUGGCAGCACCUCCGAUUCAAGGCUAGGCCUGUCUCUACAUUUUAAAGCUGUACACCGCACCGCCAAUUUUGCCAAGAUCUCUGCCUCAGCGAUUGGCCAAUCAAUCUGAGAACUGUCAAGAACAUCGGAAAUUGAGUCUUUUUUUAUCGCUUCUUCUGCACUAAGUAUCAGCCCGUGUGGGCGCUUGCCAGUCAGUAGUUGAAGAAUGAUGAUCCCCAGAGCAUAAACAUCAGAUUUCGGACGAAUUGUCCCAGUUAACUGGUAUUCCGGAUCCAUGUAAUACAGUGUGCCGGCAACUGCAGUAUCUCUGUACUCUGUGAGCCCUUCCGGCACAAUAUCUGAUAUGAGCUUGGCAAGACCUACAUCACCAAUUUUGCUGACGUAGUUCUUGUCGAGCAAUAUGUUUCCAGGCUUCAGGUCACGAUGGACAAUGGGCUCUGGUUUCGUUGCAUGCAAGAAAGCAAGCCCACAAGCCACCUCAAAGAUGAUUUGGAUGCGCAGGAACCAAUGUAGUGAUUGCUGACCUUUGUUGUUAAUAAGUUGAUCUUCUAGACUUCCAUUCUCCAUGUAUUCAUACACGAGGCAUCCAAUUUCAGGGCAGAAACCAAGCAGAAGAACUAAGUUGGGAUGGUGAAAUAGGUUAGGAUACCUCUCUCAAGAACUCAUCAAUCUUGUCACUGGAAUCUUGCUGAAUAACCUUGACAGCUACUUCAGUAUGAUCAAGGGUACACCUGUACACAUUCCCAUAGCCCCCCUCACCAAUCUUCUUUGCAUCGGAGAAGUUAUCGGUGGCAAGCUGUAUUUCACGUUUUGAGUACCGCCUGCAACUUUUGCCAGUUGACAGAAGAGCAUCCAUAACCUUUGUCUUCUCAGCAAUCACCAUAUCAGCUACUAUUUCAGCCUUAUGCUUGGAAAAAGCCUCCUGAGCGAACAAAGUUUUUGCCAUCUCAACUUCUGUAACAGCUUCUAGAUGUCUGGUCUUCUCAUCUGCAACCUUCUGCUUCAACAAUUCCUCCCUAUGUAGUGCAUCUUGCACCUUCUUCGCUUCCUCACUUUAUCACACAUCACUAACCUUUUUCUUGGCAUGGACGAGAUCUUCACAAGCUUUAUCAUACAUCACUAACGUAUCCUGCAAUUCCUUUCUCAGCUGGAAACAGGUCUGACCUCAUCAAUUGAGCUCAAGGCAACAUAAGGGAUUUCCUUCAAUCGGCCAAUAGCAUCGGGAUCCGUGUUCACAUCUCUGCCCGGUGUUUUUCGCCCUAAGCUUCCAAAAAGGCUUCUUCCAUGACUUCCUGAACUUUUACCAGCAUUAGUAGAAGUGCUACGAGAGCUGCAGGUAUGAGAGCCUGCAUAACUCGUAUCUCCAGAAGAUUUUGGUGUUCCAUCCUCAGGGUGGUCAUGCAAAGAUUGUUUGUCUAGCAGCCAGUUCUUCUGUAUUCGGGAAAAUGAUUUAUGACUGAUUGACUGAAAUAUGGGCAAAACAUACUGCUUGUUCGAGCCUGAUUUGCAAACUUAAUAGUCAAUCUGUGCCUGGACACAACAAAUACAUUGCACGAACAUGGCAUAGCUUUCAGGACAGUAGAGGGCACAUCUCGGAGCCUAUACCUUUUGAACCAGUUGAGGGAGGUGGAUCCAACCACGAGGUUGCGGACGCCGGAGUCCGCCGCGUACCUGACCAGCGCCGCCGUGACGCUCGGCUCCUCCAGAAUCACCACUUACGGUUGUGCGGGCGAAGAGGCGGCGCAGGGGGAGGAAGACCUCCUCCUGCGCACGCGCGCGGCGGUCCUCCGCGUACAUCUCCACCGUCUCCGCGUCCAUCUUCUCCACCGGCACCCUCUCCCCCGAGGGGGAGGGGACGAAGGAGACGGGGGGGAUGACGUGGACGAGCGCGACGCGCCCGGCCCCGGCGCCGUGGGCGGCGAGGUUGGCGGCCGCCCACCUCGCCGCGCGGCGGCUGGCGCGCCCGUCCCCGCGCACCGCCACCGCCAC
Molecule: small RNA, 2435 nt
Filed under: Oryza sativa Japonica Group (Japanese rice)
Lineage: Eukaryota; Viridiplantae; Streptophyta; Magnoliopsida; Poales; Poaceae
Description: sRNA Os06g0574266
Source: RNAcentral